UAGCCUAGUGAUUAAGGCUAUGGAUCGCCAAUCCGGAGAAGGCGGGUUCGAUUCCCGU
Non-coding RNA from Aedes albopictus (Asian tiger mosquito), 58 nucleotides. NCBI's taxonomy places the organism in Eukaryota, Metazoa, Arthropoda, Insecta, Diptera, Culicidae. The record is from Rfam.